This 9199-nucleotide long non-coding RNA is filed under the name Lactuca sativa (garden lettuce). RNAcentral describes it as "long non-coding RNA (LSAT_LNC001416)". The record is from RNAcentral. Lineage: Eukaryota; Viridiplantae; Streptophyta; Magnoliopsida; Asterales; Asteraceae.
GACACUUUUGGCCCUUAAAAUGGAGUUUACUCCCCAAGUGUUCUUGGGCGGUAAACUCCCAAAUCUUGGUGUCUUGUUCCGAUUUUGAUGUUUUCUAGUCAUAUACACACUAGCAUACAAGUCUAAGGUAGUUACAAAUCACGGGGAAAGGACUAGGUAGCAUUUAAGCCACAUAUUGGAGUUUACUCUCCAAGAACGUUCUUGGGCGGUAAACUCCCGAAUCUAGUUGUUUUGUUAUGAAAUUGAUGUUUCUAAACACAAUCUAAGCUAUAUAACAUAACUAGAUCGAAGUACUCACAAUUUGGGAUAAAAACCCGAAGAUCCGUGAGAGAGAAUUUUGGCUUUUCUCUAAUUGGAAAUGUAACUAAUGAACUAUUUGGUUCAGUUUUCUAUAUAUAGUCCUGGGAUUUUUGGCAGAAAAUAUUUUUAUUCCCGGAAUGAACUCUAAUAUCCUAGAGUAUUGGAAUAACAGUGUUGCACAAAACCCUAGUGCAUCCACUCUCCUAAUAUCUCCUUAAGUGUAAAUCCUGAAAACUGCCAAACUUAUACUCGAAGUCUGAAUUUUCACUGUAACUGUUCUACUUCUAUUGGCUUGAUAUGGUUUGUUCAGAAUGGAAAUUUCGGGUUGUCACAUCAUCCCCCUGUUAAAGGGAAUUUCGUCCCGAAAUUAGAAUUUAGGCAAGGAAGUAAGUACGAAUGAUCGAGUCGUGAGGAGGAAGCUUCCUAAUCGAUUGGUUCUAGCGCACCUAAGUGAAAUCUGGUUCUCGGUUGGAAUUCCAAUGAACCUUCACUAACGGGCGUUGGCGUUGCUUCGUCCGCUUGACCUCUUGGUCGAGGGUCACUACGGUUCUAAUAUGAAGGCAACGAUCUCGACGAAUUGACUUACAAGAGUCCUAACGGAAAGGUAUGGUUUCAUGAUCGAGACGCUAAGAGUAUAAUGUACGUUACUGAGUUUGCGGAGUAGGUCUAGUUUGCGAGAUACAGGACUAAUUCUGGUAAGAAUCUCAGAGGUCCUGUCUCUCUUGGAUUUAGCUUUCCAUGCUUUACGAAGCGUAUUAAGCCGUUCCCGAGUGAGCCUUCCUAAAGAAUUUGGUCUCUCACUUGGAAUCUCCAUAGGUUCUUUCUCUUGCUUAACUUCCUAGUCAAGGGCCACUCCUUGUUGGGUCAAGGUCGUAUGGUUUCCUGUGAUUUGCGAGGGUUUCUGGAUGAACUAUGACAGUAGGUCUGUAAGACCAAGAAUUUGGCGAAAGGUUGUCAGCGUCUCUGGUGUCGACAAAUGCUCAACGGUUUUGACAAAUUGAAAGAGUACUCAAAAUUUCCCACAUUACUAACAGUGUGUCAUACAAAUUUGACUCUUCAAUUUCAAAACUCGUGCCUAGAGAACUUCGCUAAAAGUUCCUCUGUAGGAAAUGUUUCCAUGGGUUUUCUUCUUACUACGAGGGUAGAUAAGUAAGUCAUUACAUGGAGAAAUGACGAACUGAUCCAAGUAAGAAAGACGUACCCUAUUCGUUUAGCUCAUGAAAGCUAUGGGCGUAUUGGUCCUAUCCGAAGGGUAUCACUACGGACUCGAAGUGUCCGCAUCGAGUUCGGAAGAUAGUCUUCCGGACAUCCUUUCCUAACACUCGAACUGGUGAUAUUCGGAUCUCAGAUCCAUUUCUGAAAGUAAUUCUUUCCUUGCGUUUGCUCAACCAUUUCAUCUAUGUGCGGCAGAGAUAACGAUUUCUAAUGAAAAAUAUUGAUGGAGUCCUCGAAAUCCGAGGCACAUACGAUGCAAUCCGUCGAUAUCUGGGAGAAUAAGACUGGGGUUUCUCCAGGGUGAGAAGCCUAGUCUUCUUAUUCUAUCGUUGUGCAGUUCGUUAAGUUGUUUGUACUGUUCUGGUAUCUCCGUGGGUGUUUAGACUAUAGGGUGAUCUGUUUACAAGAGUCGUACUAGGUUCUAUGUUUGUUCACAUGACGAUGUGAUUACUCGUAGGCUUAAGCAGUUCUCCGUCCUGAAUUUCAUAUUAGAAUUCAUACAUGGUUCACAAUAACAAUUUCGUGUAUAUCACAUCGUCAUGUGAACAAACAUAGAACCUAGUUCGACUCUUGUAAACAGAUCACCCUAUAGUCUAAACACCCACGGAGAUACCAGAACAGUACAAACAACUUAACGAACUGCACAACGAUAGAAUAAGAAGACUAGGCUUCUCACCCUGGAGAAACCCCAGUCUUAUUCUCCCAGAUAUCGACGGAUUGCAUCGUAUGUGCCUCGGAUUUCGAGGACUCCGUCAAUAUUUUUCAUUAGAAAUCGUUAUCUCUGCCGCACAUAGAUGAAAUGGUUGAGCAAACGCAAGGAAAGAAUUACUUUCAGAAAUGGAUCUGAGAUCCGAAUAUCACCAGUUCGAGUGUUAGGAAAGGAUGUCCGGAAGACUAUCUUCCGAACUCGAUGCGGACACUUCGAGUCCGUAGUGAUACCCUUCGGAUAGGACCAAUACGCCCAUAGCUUUCAUGAGCUAAAUGAAUAGGUUACGUCUUUCUUACUUGGAUCAGUUCGUCAUUUCUCCAUGUAAUGACUUACUUAUCUACCCUCGUAGUAAGAAGAAAACCCAUGGAAACAUUUCCUACAGAGGAACUUUUAGCGAAGUUCUCUAGGCACGAGUUUUGAAAUUGAAGAGUCAAAUUUGUAUGACACACUGUUAGUAAUGUGGGAAAUUUUGAGUACUCUUUCAAUUUGUCAAAACCGUUCACAUCCCAUCCGGGAAAAGAAGUUAAAGUGGAAUCAUCAAUUCUAAACCUGUAGAACCUUGAUUAUAUAUCAAUCUUAUGCAUACAUUUCUCAGUGAUAGAUCAAUCGUAUGAAUUCUUGGAUUGAACUUGACGUACUGCACGAGUGGUACUUCGGGGGUUUCUUCGGAAAAGAAAAGAACUAUGAGGUACUCCAUGCAUGAGUACUUCGGUGUUCUGAUGUAACGGCUUCGUUGGAAAAGCGAUCUAAAAGAAAGAGAUGUACGUAUGAAGCUGUUUUGUGAGGAUCAAAUUGAAUCGAGUCUCAUGAUAAUGUCGGAAUCAUACUGAAACUUAAAGACAUUAGAUUUGAACAUAAGACGUUUUACAGACAAAACACAACCGUGCAACCAUCAAGAGAGUUCCUACAAGACUAUUGCUGCUAAAAAGGUAUACUACAAAAGACAAGUAUACGCAGCACGAGCAUCCCUAAACCUACAGAAUCUCGCAAAAGAUAAGACUCCAGUUGCACUAGUUCGGGAUAGUUUAUAAGUCUGUUACAACGAGACGCCUAAAUUACAUUAACGUGGUUCCGGAGCAGGCUCUCCUGCAGCUGUGAUCCUGAGAAUUUUCCCGUCUGCGCUAGAGUUCUGCGUUAUCGGGCAAUCCUUCUUGAGGUGUCCAAUUUCACCGCAUUGGUGACAUAUCUGGACAGCACCCACAUCAGUGGAGGAAGUGAAGUGUUGAGUAGGAGUUAUGAGGACACGGUUGCUUUCGUUGAUCUUCCCUUUUGGGCAAUUUUUGUAAUAGUGCCCUGCCUGAACACAACUAUAGCAAACUAGGCUUGCUCCAGUGGUGGUGGUAGUUCUACAGAAAUGAGCAAUGUGUCCCAUCUUGUUGCAAAUAUUGCAUUGUCAGGCUCGACUAAUUCCCUUGUGGUGGUGGUUGCACCGGUCGCACUUCGGGAGUGUUCCUUUAUAUGGUUUGCUCGGUACUGGGAUGGCAAAGGUUUCUACUUGUGGUUGUUGCCUGGCAAUUCUCUGAAUUCGUUUGCGUUCCACUUUGGCUUGACGUUUUCUUUUCUUGAACUCUGAGUUGUUGUUUUGGGUGGUGGCGACUGUUACUAUUUGUUGAUUCCUCGGAUCGUUAACACGAUCGGGAUUGUCAACUCCUUUUUCAGCCUUGUUUGCGUUGGCAAUGCUGCGAUUUGCCAGGAUUGCUAUCACGGCAGCUGUAACGGUGGCUUGAAAAGUAGCGGUGUCCAUAGGAAAAGUAGAGGUCUCGUUGCUUGGCUGGUUGUUUCCGGAUGACGACAUGAUUCUGUUACACGAAAGAUAAGGAUUUUGUGAGCGAUUCUGGUUGAACCUAGAUGUACUUAGAUUGUUCAAGUAAGGAGUAAGACUAUGUUCUCGAAAGGUUGACCUACAUCCCUAUGAUGCAGUCCUAGUACUAAAUGGGAGUGAGUUUGUGAAAUGGUCUUAAGAAGUUUGUCGUUCAAGCCGAGGGAUCGAUGGUUGGUGAAUAACAGGAUCCAACCACUGAAAGAGACUUGGAGAUGUCUCCGGAGUUAAAAUACUAUACUCCAAUGACUUGAGUAAAGCAUGUUUCAAAUAGGCUCCAAUGAAAGUACAAUAAGAGUACUUGAAUAAAGAAUGACACGGAAGUUAGCCGACUGUCAAUAUCUUUGAAAUUCAUGACGUAAAGAUUCAGGAAAAUGACCUUGUAAAGGUCUUACAUCAUAUCCAGAGAAGAUAGUUCUUGAUAGCAUAAGGACCUAACCCAAAGUACUUACAGUAUAAGGUAAUUUCAUAGAAAAUGCCACAUCAGGCAAAGACAGAAAAACAAUUCCUUUUAAUAAGGAAAAUAAAGUAAAGCGUCUACUACUGGCGAUGGUCAUCCCUCUGGUGAACUCUCAGUUCAGCCAGUUGACAUUCCAUAUCAAGUAGGUGUCUUUCGUACACCCUCUGGCAUACUCGAAGCUCUAUGACUUCGGCUCGUGAUUCAGUCAGUGCUUGCAGCUGGGUCUCAUGGUUUCUCUCUGAUCUUUCGUGAGCAUCUUCUAGACGAAUGGUGCAGAGGGUAUGCAUUCUCGCAUUAGCAACAACUUCGGUAAUCUGAUGUAGGGCUAUCCUGCCUUGAAUCUCAUUUCGGGCCACUCUACAGACCAAGAUUGGCAAGGAUCUGUCUGCUGAGCCCCCAUUGCUCAGGUCGUAAAAGCUUCGGUCGCCAUUAAAUGGCAUGGGCUGAUCUUGUCCUUGGCUCCAUGUGUCCAAGCAUUCCACCCACUCAGGCAUCGGGCCAUGAAAAAGCCGGACGAUGGUUAGGAAUUGGAAAGGGAGCUGUUUGGGGUAGGUUCUCAACCUCUGGUUCGGAAUUUGCACUGUCCGAAGGGUUUUCAUCAUGGUGAUCAUUCAAAGAGAUCGGAUGAUCAUUCUCUGGUUNGUUCUUCUCCAAACCAACCAGCUAUGACUUCGUUCGGAAGAUACUGGUUGCUGUGGGGAUGGAGUCCAGCCAUGUUAUCUAUGCGAGAAUUGGGGUAAGAAAUAAUUAUUAGACGAACUAUCUAGAUAAUUAUUUAGAAAAUUUUCAUCAGUUACAUCGCUAUUAGUGAAGUGCAUACCAGUUAUAUGUAAUCGAGCCAGGAUAGGCCUUCGAAUAAGUGACCUUAACUCCAUAUUCACACAGAAUAGGGGUGAAGUAAAAUUUUCACAGAUUCUAAGUCUAUAACAUCCUAAUUACAUAUAUCCUUAGUGUAUCCACUUAGCAACUAUCAACUUCGUAAUGAAGAUCCCGUUUUAGUUCUCAAGUAUAAAGUACUUAUAGUAACACCAAAUACUCCUAUAGUAUUUUAAGUUUAAUGUUAUGUUCUACUGUUCUCAUUGUGGUAGGGUUGGUAAGAUUUUAGCAUUGUUGCAACCACACAAUUAAACUUAGGCACAUGCUAGUCAACCCUCGGAUAAUAUAGGUGAUCAGGCUAUAUCUUCCCAGUUUUGACCAUAUGUCUCUAAGCCCACUUGUGUUGCCCAACAAUCGUAAUUCUUUUGUACUGUCCUAGUGACACUGAUUUUAGUAUGAAUGCAGGCACGUAUACUUUAUUAAAUAUUUUAUUAUUUAAAGUAUAAACUCUUGGUCAGAGUAUUUUUAAUCCCUUAUGUAUUUAUAGUUAGUAUAUCUUUUAUGGGUUGAUAUACUUAAUUCACUAUAAACAAUGCUCUGAUACCAAUCUGUCACACCCCAAAACCAAGAACGGCGGAAACGAUUUGCGGCGGAGGACAUCAUGUACAGUAUCACAACAAUGUAAAGUAAUAAACAAGCAACAACAUCAUCCAUUGCAUUAAUAAUAGAAUUAUUAUACAAGUGUGUUCUAUCAAAUUUUGAUAAACACUAAAGCAUAAAUCAAAAUGAAAGAUGAUUCUUUAACGAGAUCCAUCUUCCCUAAUCCUUGCAUCGGUAGCUGUCUAUGAUGACCUGAGGUUACAAGUAAUUUUGAAAGCGAGUAUCAGCUUUGAAGCUGGUGAGAUCAUAAGUAUUUUAGUGUCUUAAUUUGUAUGUAAGUAUUUGUAUGUAUAUGAAUUGCAAGUAUUGAGAAUGUAUAUGAAUUGUAAGUAUAAAAAUGUUUUGUAUGAUCCUAGGAAGCCCUAUGUUUCCUACUAAUCGUAUCCUUCUACCAAGGCAUCUAGUGUCUGCGUGUAUGGCUCACAUAAGAGAGUGUAUUUUCUCAAAUCUGACUAUCAUUAAUCAAAAUAUAGUUUCUACAUUAUCGUGCAUCAUGUGAAAAUUCACGAAGUGAAUGUAAUGGGAAAAGAAAUUGUACUAUGGUGUACUGUCGAACUACAACCGUACCUAUUACCUUAAAUCUAGGGUAAUACUUCCAAGUACUGUAGUAUUUGUAAUAAAUAACUACAUCGGUACUCAACUACCUUAUUUGAGGGAUAAGGUAUAAUGUGAUGUCUAGAUCCCAGACUAUACGCUCCCCUAUCAAAGGGAUUUUGGGACCUACCCACGACCCCUGCAUGUAUGCAAGCCGUGAGCAUCCAUAUUACUAUGAUCAUGUAUACUCGAUAUAACUAUCACAAUUGUGUGUGAUUCAACAGUAUAGUUAGAUCCUGAAUUGGUUCCGUGCUAUAGCACCUAGUAACGUCUGUCCUAUGUAUAUGUAAGUGUGUUCAUGUAAGUGAUCAUGUAGUUGUUCUCAUGUAAGUGUGAUCAUGUAAACAUCUCUAUGUAAUAGUAUAGUAAUCUACUGUAAUGUUCCACGUGUGCUAGCUGUAAUGUGUGUUCUCUCUCUAUCAAGCAUGUAUAGUAAUGUACUGUAAUGUUCUAGCUGUAAUGUAUGCUCUUUCUAUCUAGCAAGUAUAGUAAUGUACUAUAAUGUUAUAGCUGUAAUGUACGUGCUCUCUACCUAGCAAGUAUAGUAAUGUACAGUAAUGAUCUAGAAAGUAUUGACUCAUGAAUAAACUGACUCAUUGUAUGAUAUUGCGUUCUAGUAAUAGUUCUAGUAUCUUCCUAAACUACCCAUAUGGUAGUUUACUAGUAAUCUAACUUGUACGUAUGGACAUGGAUGUAUACCCUUGCUACCCAAGGGCAUGGGAUGAACUGGAAGGGCCUUUAUGACUAUAUAUGUACAUAUGUUAUAUAACUAAUAUUUAAACGACCUUCGGACGAGUACCCGAUAUCCCACCAGACCACAUCUCAAGCGCGAAAAGGAAAUAGGGUGGAUAGCCUUCCUAAGUCUUUUAAACAUUUCUUAUAUAACUAUACAUAUAGAGGCAUGCAAUUUAUAAUUUAAAAGCAUAAAAUAAGAUUUGUAAAACCUUUGAACAUAAAUAUUUUCUAAGAAAAGACCGACUUGAUGUCGAUCUAUAAAAUGGUUUUGAAGGCAUGGGUUUGAUAAAACAGUUUAGUAUAAAGAACAUUUGUUUGAAACACAAUUGUAAAUAAGUUUGAAAUGUAAUAUACAGAGUAAAAUGUACAGUGUAAUAAGGAGUUUUUAAACACAUAAAAUGUUUAUGAAAAACAUUUGAAGGAAACUGUUUGGUAAAACGGCUAAUGAGUAGCCAAUCAUUUGAAUGCUGCUUAUUAAUCACAUGUGAUUGAUAUAAUAAUUAGCAUAAUUCUACUUGUAUCCCCCCAUAAAACAUUUAAAAACAGUUUAAAACCAUGAUUAAGGGGUAUGAACUCACCUGCAGUAAGUGACUGGAAUUGAACGGACUGUUAUCGUAAGGAAGGAUCGGACAAGUGGUUGGUGUCAAGUGAAGACUUUAGACACACACAAUGAUCCUAAUUACGUAUGAAGACAUAUGUAUAUAAAUAAUUAGUGAUUAAAACACUAAUUAUACAAGUAUAAGCAUUUUAAUGCGAGGAAAACACUUUUGCUCAAGUGCUAGGAGGCAAAUGGGUUGCAACGAAGGAGUGCAAUGCCCCUAAUGGGAGUUUAUGGUCAAAUGACCAUAUGUUUUGGAGUUUAUGGCCCAGGGGAGUAAAUCCCUCGCCGUAAACUCACAACAAGGUCUCUAAAUGAAGCCUAUCAUUUAUACAACUAGUUCGGUGAAUUGUUUCAAGGCUAAAUCAAGUGUUUAGGCUUCCUAUUAACUCCUUUGAGGAGUUUACGGCCCUGGGACCAUAUCCCAGGGAGAUUAGGGCCGUAAUCUCCUUUGGGUGAAAGUUUACGGUGCUUUCAAGUCAAUAUAUUAUCAAGGAAUGCAUCACGGAAAUUGUCCAAGGCUUUAGGGGGAUUUAUGGCUUCAUUUUGCACCAUAUAAUGGAGUUCACAGCCCUGGAACAUCUUGGGCCGUGAACACCUUUUUCUUGGUGUUUUAGUGGUGUUUGCUUGCUCCAAACACACUAGGGUACUUGUACUAAUUCAAGCCUAAGCCUUAGGAAGUGUUUCAAGGCAUUUUGACACCUAAACAUGGAGUUCACGGCCCAAGAACCUCCUUGGCCGUGAACUCGCUUUCAUCAUUGAUUUGAAUUACUUUUGGUGUCCUAAACAUGCAAUGGUGGGUUCUAGUUCGAGUUCUAAAGCUUUGAGGGUCAUUGGGACACUUUUGGCCCUUAAAAUGGAUUUUACUCCCCAAGUGUUCUUGGGCGGUAAACUCCCAAAUCUUGGUGUCUUGUUCCGAUUUUGAUGUUUUCUAGUCAUAUGCACACUAGCAUACAAGCCUAAGGUAGUUACAAUUCGCGGGGAAAGGAAUAGGUAGCAUUUAAACCACAUAUUGGAGUUUACUCUCCAAGAACGUUCUUGGGCAGUAAACUCCCGAAUCUCGCAGAUUUGAUAUGUAAUUGAUGUUUCUAAACACAAUCUAAGCUAUAUAACAUAACUAGAUCGAAGUACUCACAAUUUGGGAUAAAAACCCGAAGAUCCGUGAGAGAGAAAAUGGCUUUUCUCUAGUUGGAAAUGUAACUAAUGAACCAAUUUGGUUCAGAAUUCUAUUUAUAGUCCUGAGAUAUUUUUGGCAGAAAAUAUUUUUAUUCCCGGAAUGAACUCUAAUAUCUU